This 1976-nucleotide long non-coding RNA is filed under the name Phaseolus vulgaris (common bean). RNAcentral's name for it is "long non-coding RNA (PVUL_LNC003277)". Lineage: Eukaryota; Viridiplantae; Streptophyta; Magnoliopsida; Fabales; Fabaceae. The record is from RNAcentral.
AACUUUAUUUAAAGCUACCCUAUUGAAUAAAUAGGUAUUUACAAGAUAAAUAAGAUCAUGUCUAUAUUGUUCUGUGAUUAGUUUGUUCGUAAAUAUACAAUUGUAAUUUCCUAUGAAGAAAAAAAAUUCCUUGAGUUGAGUUGUCUUUUUUCUUUGGGUUGAUAUUUGUGCUGUGUGCUGAUUUCAAAAUAUUAAUCCAAAAUGAAACUAAUUUAAACAAGCAUAUGCCUGAAUUGCAAUAAAACUUGGUCGUUACAAUAGAAGGAGUUUCAAACCUAAUAAGAUGUGAUCAAAGAAAGCAUAUUUCUUCCCAUGUAGUAAUACCAGAUAUACGAAUCUUCUCAUGGGAAUGAAUACAAGGGCAAUUCCAAAAUGUUCCCAGAUGUUCUUUGGAUAUUGACAAUAUGAACUUGCAAAUAUAGUUGUUUGCUGUUAUUAUAUCAACUUAUUUAUCCAUUCCUAUAUUGAAGACAGGCCAUGUUGUUUCUUCUUCCUAUUAUAGUACAGGGCAAAAGGGGGUGUUUGCCUAAGAUGAAAAACAAAUGCAGCUUGUAAACCUAAAAGUAUAAAACUACCCUAGAAAAUCUUGAUUUAAACAGGCAAGCAUGAACAUCUAAGACAAAAAACUGAGGUUGAUUGAUUAAAAUACAUAAUCAACCAAUGUCCUUUUUAUGGUCUCUUCUUUAAUGCAAAGGAAAACUUAACUAUCUCUGCAAUAUGCACAAAAUUUUCAAGACCAUGAAAACCCAAUCAAAAACAAACGAUGUUAAUAUUUAAGACCAAUCAUCAGCUUCCUAAAACACAACUCCCAACAUUUUCAACCCAAAGUGUUUCUCUCCUGGUCGGCACCAGAUGAUUUCGGGAUGUCUCGGUAUUCAGUGUCGACCGACAGACAUGUUUAAAUACAUUAAGGUAUAAGGAUGGUUAACAAGGCUAAACCGUACGAAAAAUUAGUAAACCGUACGAAAAAUUAGGUAAUACUCUACAUGCUAAUCUCGGCCCAACUAACAGAACUUAUCAUAGUAGUAUAAAUAGGUGCAAUAAUCAAAACAAAGAUACAUCAUUAUUAUGCAUCUAUUGCAUUGAAUACUAAACACUUACUUUUGAGCAUCAAAGUAUCUUUUACAAGUGUCUUUCCAACCGAAAGUAAAGAGUUAAGAGCGAAGAAAGAAAGAAGCAGAAUCCGACCGAAGGAGUUAAUUGUUCCACUGUAAAAGAUACUCUCGGCCCCUCUAUACAAUAACAGAUUCAAAUUGAAUAGACGAGGGAUUGGAGGGAUGGGUGGACCUAUUUAUGAAUCCUAAUAGUCAUAGUUUGCAAAGAAAACCUCAUAAAUAAGCUUGUUUCUAAGAACCGAGAAGAGUGAGAGAAGAAACUAAAUAGGAUAAAUAAUAUUCUCCUGAGCUUUCUAGUUGAAAUUAUCAGUGACUAGAGAGUUGUAGUAUGUGACAUCUGAGAGUGAAUACAAGUUUUUCGUGCCUUCAUUAUUUGAGAAAUGGAGGAAUACCUUUGGUGUUUCAGUGCAAUUCAUGUCAUUUUUUUAGGAUCUGUGAUCCUUAGGUUAGAUUGGAGUGAUUCCAUUAUUAAAAUUAUUUGAAUAGGAUAUAGAAUACAAAUUACUAGACUAAAAUACAAUUUUGAUCUUCCUUUUUUUAAUCCAUGAUUUUUUUAACAUAGAGUUAUUUCGACCAACCCUACAAAUUAAGUUAAUACCUUAAUAAUUAAGAUAUUAAUAUUUACUUACAUGUCAUAUACUUUUAUCUAACCAAAAAAAUAAACAAUGACAUAUAAUAUAUAUAUAUAGGGAAAAAAAGAAAAAAAAAAUACCAUGGCGUGUGGUCGUCGUGUUGGAAAACUCUGAAUCCGCGAUUGCUUCUAGAAUCUUCUAUUUGAAUUCACUGUGUUAUAUUGAAUAUUCUUCAAAUUAUUCAUCAGUUUUUCGAUCUUUCACAAAACUCAGAACCCUAUUGGUAUAU